CGUCGUUUGCGACGCCCAACACACAAAACAAGCGGUGAGUGCUUUGGGGUGGGGUGACUGCGUACCUUUUGUAUAAUGGGUCAGCGACUUAUAUUCUGUAGCAAGGUUAACCGAAUAGGGGAGCCGGAGGGAAACCGAGUCUUAAUUGGGCGUUAAGUUGCAGGGUAUAGACCCGAAACCCGGUGAUCUAGCCAUGGGCAGGUUGAAGGUUGGGUAACACUAACUGGAGGACCGAACCGACUAAUGUUGAAAAAUUAGCGGAUGACCUGUGGCUGGGGGUGAAAGGCCAAUCAAACCGGGAGAUAGCUGGUUCUCCCCGAAAGCUAUUUAGGUAGCGCCUCGUGAAUUCAUCUCCGGGGGUAGAGCACUGUUUCGGCUAGGGGGCCAUCCCGGCUUACCAACCCGAUGCAAACUGCGAAUACCGGAGAAUGUUAUCACGGGAGACACACGGCGGGUGCUAACGUCCGUCGUGAAGAGGGAAACAACCCAGACCGCCAGCUAAGGUCCCAAAGUCAUGGUUAAGUGGGAAACGAUGUGGGAAGGCCCAGACAGCCAGGAUGUUGGCUUAGAAGCAGCCAUCAUUUAAAGAAAGCGUAAUAGCUCACUGGUCGAGUCGGCCUGCGCGGAAGAUGUAACGGGGCUAAACCAUGCACCGAAGCUGCGGCAGCGACACUGUGUGUUGUUGGGUAGGGGAGCGUUCUGUAAGCCUGUGAAGGUGUGUCGUGAGGCAUGCUGGAGGUAUCAGAAGUGCGAAUGCUGACAUAAGUAACGAUAAAGCGGGUGAAAAGCCCGCUCGCCGGAAGACCAAGGGUUCCUGUCCAACGUUAAUCGGGGCAGGGUGAGUCGACCCCUAAGGCGAGGCCGAAAGGCGUAGUCGAUGGGAAACGGGUUAAUAUUCCCGUACUUGGUGUUACUGCGAAGGGGGGACGGAGAAGGCUAUGUUGGCCGGGCGACGGUUGUCCCGGUUUAAGCGUGUAGGUGUGUGUUCCAGGUAAAUCCGGUUCACUUUAACACUGAGGCGUGAUGACGAGGCACUACGGUGCUGAAGCAACAAAUGCCCUGCUUCCAGGAAAAGCCUCUAAGCAUCAGGUAACAUCAAAUCGUACCCCAAACCGACACAGGUGGUCAGGUAGAGAAUACCAAGGCGCUUGAGAGAACUCGGGUGAAGGAACUAGGCAAAAUGGUGCCGUAACUUCGGGAGAAGGCACGCUGACACGUAGGUGAAGUGAUUUACUCAUGGAGCUGAAGUCAGUCGAAGAUACCAGCUGGCUGCAACUGUUUAUUAAAAACACAGCACUGUGCAAACACGAAAGUGGACGUAUACGGUGUGACGCCUGCCCGGUGCCGGAAGGUUAAUUGAUGGGGUCAGCGCAAGCGAAGCUCCUGAUCGAAGCCCCGGUAAACGGCGGCCGUAACUAUAACGGUCCUAAGGUAGCGAAAUUCCUUGUCGGGUAAGUUCCGACCUGCACGAAUGGCGUAAUGAUGGCCAGGCUGUCUCCACCCGAGACUCAGUGAAAUUGAACUCGCUGUGAAGAUGCAGUGUACCCGCGGCAAGACGGAAAGACCCCGUGAACCUUUACUAUAGCUUGACACUGAACAUUGAGCCUUGAUGUGUAGGAUAGGUGGGAGGCUUUGAAGUGUGGACGCCAGUCUGCAUGGAGCCGACCUUGAAAUACCACCCUUUAAUGUUUGAUGUUCUAACGUGGACCCGUUACCCGGGUUGCGGACAGUGUCUGGUGGGUAGUUUGACUGGGGCGGUCUCCUCCUAAAGAGUAACGGAGGAGCACGAAGGUUGGCUAAUCCUGGUCGGACAUCAGGAGGUUAGUGCAAUGGCAUAAGCCAGCUUGACUGCGAGCGUGACGGCGCGAGCAGGUGCGAAAGCAGGUCAUAGUGAUCCGGUGGUUCUGAAUGGAAGGGCCAUCGCUCAACGGAUAAAAGGUACUCCGGGGAUAACAGGCUGAUACCGCCCAAGAGUUCAUAUCGACGGCGGUGUUUGGCACCUCGAUGUCGGCUCAUCACAUCCUGGGGCUGAAGUAGGUCCCAAGGGUAUGGCUGUUCGCCAUUUAAAGUGGUACGCGAGCUGGGUUUAGAACGUCGUGAGACAGUUCGGUCCCUAUCUGCCGUGGGCGCUGGAGAACUGAGGGGGGCUGCUCCUAGUACGAGAGGACCGGAGUGGACGCAUCACUGGUGUUCGGGUUGUCAUGCCAAUGGCACUGCCCGGUAGCUAAAUGCGGAAGAGAUAAGUGCUGAAAGCAUCUAAGCACGAAACUUGCCCCGA
Molecule: ribosomal RNA, 2278 nt
Filed under: Salmonella enterica
Lineage: Bacteria; Pseudomonadati; Pseudomonadota; Gammaproteobacteria; Enterobacterales; Enterobacteriaceae
Description: partial 23S ribosomal RNA
Rfam family: Bacterial large subunit ribosomal RNA
Source: RNAcentral